AAUCCCACAGAGAGAGAGAGAGAGAGAGAGAGAGAGGUUCAACUUGUGUCUCUGACUCACCCCCAUUUCACCUGUCUCUCUCCUUGCUUCUUGAUAUAAAGAGACGGAGGGAGACGCCCUUUUUCUUCACAGACGUAUACAGUGUAGAAAAAGAGAGAGGAGAGGCAGAGAAAAUGAAUGUCCUAGUGUCGUCGGAAUGCAGUAGUGGGUGUGAGUCCGGUUGGACUCUCUACUUCGAGCACUCUGUCAACCCCUCUCGCAGAGACUCUGCCUCUCCGUUCAUUGAUGAGAGAGAUGAUGAGGAUCUAUGUGACGAGAACAGAGGCAAGGGCAUUGAAGAUGAUGAGGAGGAGGGCCUGUCCAUGGUUUCUGAUGCAUCCUCUGGACCCCAGUCCACUUUCUUGAAGAUAUACAUGACCAACAACGCCGCUUCAACAACGGAAGUGACCGUGACCAACGUGUCCGUUCCCCCGUAAAAGCUCUCAAGCAGAGUGGGAAGAGACAGAGAACGAGGGAACAACACCACCCAUGGCGCUACAAGAUAAAUCAGGACUUGCCUUCUUUGCUUGACGACACUGCGAGCUCUCCCAUCAUCAACUUCUUCCCCACGAAAGACUUGAUGCUUAGUGGAAGCCCGGGCUCAAUGGAGAGUGUCUUGGAAUUUUCUGAGGGAAGAUCUGCAUUUCAAGAACGGUUUGGUUUCAUGCAGUCUUCUCACUCUGGGAAACAGAAUAACCAGUGGUUUGGAAGGAAUGACAUGGAGUUGAGAUAGAGUGACAAGCUUGAAUCUGUUGCAGAUUGUUGCUGCUUGUUGGGCUCUUGGCAUGCUCGAGGUCUAGGAGACAUGUCUGAAAUAGGAGGGUUGUCAAUGUGUUGAAAAGGAGGGUAGGAAGAAAGAAAGAAAGUAAAAGAAAAGAGGACGUUUGGAUCUCAAAGAGAUCUUUUUAAUCUUCAUUAUCUCCCCUCUUUUUUCAUAUCCCUGUAGCAGGCACAACCCAAGAGGAAAUUUGGAAAUAAGAUUUAAUUUUCCUGCAA
This is a long non-coding RNA of Eucalyptus grandis, 1035 nucleotides long. RefSeq lists it as uncharacterized. The record is from RefSeq and is a predicted model, not a curated record. The transcript is spliced from 3 exons. NCBI's taxonomy places the organism in Eukaryota, Viridiplantae, Streptophyta, Magnoliopsida, Myrtales, Myrtaceae.